Long non-coding RNA from Macadamia integrifolia, 3535 nucleotides. RefSeq lists it as uncharacterized. The record is from RefSeq and is a predicted model, not a curated record. The transcript has 4 exons. NCBI's taxonomy places the organism in Eukaryota, Viridiplantae, Streptophyta, Magnoliopsida, Proteales, Proteaceae.
UUAAUGUUGAUUUUUGAUGACUUAAUAUGGGUUAAUGUUAAUUUUUUAUGAUACAAGGUAUAUGUAGCAUACUAAGUGAUGUUAGAAAAGAGGAAAGAUAAAAAAUAACACUUGGUCACCUUGGUUCACCGUGACGUUGUGACAACUAUGAUUGGGAUUCCAUAUAUUGGCCAUAAACAACUACAAAGCAAGGAUUCAAAGCCUCAAGGCCCUCAACUCAUUUUUUUUUUUUUUUAAGAACAUCACAUUUUGAACUAUUUCAAUUGAAUAUAUUUGUCUCUCAGUAUGAUACUCUCCAUUUCAAUGUUUAUGCAUAAUACAUGUUAUAUAUAGCUUUUUAAACUUUUUUUAUGCAGUGCAAAAAAAAGUGUUACCUAUCCAUUUAUGUGCGUACCUUAAACUAUCUCCGAUACAUAUCUUAAUUUUGGUUGGCCAAUACAACGACCAAUACUUAAUCCUUGGUAGGGUUGAUCUCCUCUCUAAGGGUGAGGAGGGUCUCCUCAAGAAAUCAACUGAAUCUAAGGAAGGGAUCCCAAAAAUCGAUGGACUCAAGGUUUUGGAGAAAAAACCCUGAUUCUUGGAAAUCGCAGAUGUGAUGAUCUUCAAUAUUGUAAGCAAUGAGUUCUUCCAAAUUGUUGUACUUGAUCUUCAAGAGGUGGAGAUUUGAUCUUAAAAGUAGGAAGAAUCAAACCUCAAGAAGAGAAGAAAAAAAAAUCGAAGAGAGGGUAGAACCCUAAGCGAUUCUUGCAGGGCUUUAGGGUUUAUAGCAUUGAGGUAGUGUGUAGGAGAGCAACUAGAUUCAUAUGAAUCACCUUAUUAGUGCUGCCCUGCGAGGAAUUAUGGAGAGAAAGGAAGAGAAGAAGGUGGAGGGUGAGAGAGGAUGGAGGCUUGUGAUACGGGGAAAGAGAGAAAAAUGAGGCUGAAAACCUAGAUCAGAAAAUUUGGCUCUGAUACCAUUGUUAACAACAAAACUAGGGUAGAAUGUCUGAAUGAUCAAUGAGACCACACAAGCCUUUAUUUCUAAGAAGCAAAGGAGAAGCAAAAUUACAAGUAUGCCCACCCUUCAACCGACUCAUUAAUUAGAGUCGAUGUAAGGGGGGAAAGGCAGGAACGCCAUUGCGGCACCCUUAGUUACAUAUAUCAACAUUUACAAAUGCACAACAGGAAUUCAAUAAUUAUGCAAAAAAAAUAGUCAAUGUGCUUAGUCCAUACAAUGGUGAAAUAUCAGUAUCAGACCAUUGAUUUGGACCCUCUGAUCCAUAUCGGUGUGAGACUGGACCAACUUUCUCUCUCCUAGCUAGUGGAUCAACCAAUUCAGUAGUAUCUCAGACUUUUACACACUGGAUUGGGAAAUAUUUUGUUUGGAUUGUCCCAUCCAGUCGAGUUGUAAUGUAGACAAAUCCCAAACAGGAUUAGAACAAAGAAUAUAGGAUGUGGAACUAAUAGAGCAGACUAUGAGACUAGAUCUAAGAGAAAACAGAAGAAUUGAUAAGAACAGGACAGUAAUCCACCAAAUCCAUGAAGAAAAUCCACUCUUCCACUGAGGAAUCCACCAAGCACACUACUGAUUCCACAGCAGCAAAAUUCAGGAAAACUGAAUUACUGUAUUACUUCCAAUCAUUAGGGGGCAUAGGCGUUUACAUUUGUUUAUAGUGUAAGCUAACCCAAACAGGAUAGCAUAAAGACUGAUUACGAUUAACCUUAUUCAAAAGAAAAUUAUAAAAAACAGCCACCUAUUUUACUAAAAGACUGCCACCAGGAAAACAUUCCACCUAAUCUAUCCAAGAUAAAAUAAAAAAUAGUAACAGAUUUUAAAAAGGGGAAAAAAAUCUAAAACCCCAACUUAACUAACAAAUAAAUCAUGUAUUCCUAACUCCUACAAAAAAAAAAAAAAAAAGCCCCUUAGACAAAGGCCCAACACAUAUGUAAUGCAACACAAGGCUUAUUUCCACCAUUCCUCAGUUUUAAUUUACCUCAUAUCUCAGUAUAUAUUCUUCUAGACACCCCCCCCCAACCCUCUUCAUAAAUUCCUAGCUUGACUACAGACCCACUAUCCAAAUUUAGCUCCAAUCACCCUCCUCCAGAAGGUGAAAGAUUCAAAGCAUCCAGUUGUCCGGGUUUUGAUUAUAAUGUUCACUAGAGUGAAAACAAGAUUCAACAAAAUGCUCAAUCCACAUCCGGAAAACAGAAAAAUGAUAGUCUAAAGAAAGAAGAGGGCUCGUGCCCAACACUACAUCUUCAAGGCCACUUACAAAAUAGGAUUUAACCCAUAUAAUAUGCACUGGCUUAAUACGGUGUUAAGGAAUUAAGCAUUAAGUGGUACCCGCAGGGGUAUUUCAGUCUUAGAUAAUUUCUGUUUUGUAUUUUAUGUGUGAGUGCACUUAUGUCAAGGGUAAUUUGUAAUUUAUUUUGUUUUAAUUAUUAUGAAUACAUAAUGUGACAACCGGUUGUCAUUAUUCUCUUCUCUCCCAAUCUCUCUCUCUCUCAGUGUGAUCCCAAUCGUAUAUUCUAACCUGCAGAUGAUAUAUAGUUAUACUGAUACUGUGUUGCUGUUUUUUGAGGUAUUUGGGAAUAUAAGCAUGCUGGAAUAAGGGGCGCUUGGCCCAACGGUAAGGUACGAAUGUUGUGACCUGGUGGUCAAGCGGUCAAAACAGCCUCUUGGCAUUCUCCGGAUAAGGCUGCAUACUUCUCGGCCCCCCCUGGACCUCACACAUGCGGGAGCCUCGUGCACCGGCUACGCCCCCUUUUUUUUUAAGCAUGCUGGAAUAAUUCUGAUCAGUGGUGUCCGAGGUUCUGGAUUCCCUAGGAGGGGUCGAGGUUCAAGGGAAAGUUGAGGACGUUGUACUGGUAGAGGUCGAGAUCAGCAACCUGGACAGAAAACAGACCAAGCCUUACGACUGUGUACUCACUGCAGCAAGGUCAAUCAUACUGUUGACAAAUGUUGGAUAAAGUAUGGCAAACUGAGGGCAUAACAACAAUUUGCCAACUCCUCAGCAACUGACGAGAAUUCUGACAUGGUGUUGUCUAAAGAAACUAAUCUUGAUUCUUCAUCUAGAGGUAGUCAGUCGGCUUCCACAUUUCGUAAUGAUCUAAUAAGUCAGUAACUAAAACAUGUCCAGCAGUUUGAGCCAUCCACUACUACAUUAGCCCAUUCAAGUACUGCUGUGCUUCUCGCCUCUUCAUCUUCUACCACUUGGGUUAUUGGUUCAGACACUUCAUCUCAUAUGACUGGGGGCACUCUGUCUGGACUCAAUCUUGGCAAACGAGCAGGAGAGGUUCGAGCAAACCUACAAGUGAAAUUUGGACCCCACUAGGUCCACUACAUGAAAGAUAUGGCUUGCUUAUGUUCAGAAGGAAGGUAAUCUGGUAGUGUUGCAUCUGCACACCCAAUAAUCAAAUUCAGAAAGCUCAAGAUCGGCAGUGAUGGCGGAAGACAACCAACACAAAUGCCAAACAUACAACAGUGCGACCAAACAUGGGUAAAUUCUUUUGAGAUACCCUUCUGAGUGGCUGCUGUCAAAUGUAUUCCUGGUUG